Long non-coding RNA from Poecilia latipinna (sailfin molly), 753 nucleotides. RefSeq lists it as uncharacterized. NCBI's taxonomy places the organism in Eukaryota, Metazoa, Chordata, Actinopteri, Cyprinodontiformes, Poeciliidae. The transcript has 2 exons. The record is from RefSeq and is a predicted model, not a curated record.
CACCCUGACUUAAUGAUGAUUCUGGAUAUGAGUUUGUCUUGAAUUACUGACAAUCAUUUAUUCUUCAGCUUUAAUAUAAAUGCCACUCUUCCAAUAACAGAUCCAUUUCUGUAUCCAUAGGUGUUCCUCAACUGGCUGUUCUCACAAACAUUGACGAGGCGUGUAUUGAUACCAAGACAAAUUUAAGAAAUGUCUACAGGAGCAAAUAUUUAAAGAAAAAAAUUUCCCACUUGCAUUCAAGCUUGGGGAUUCCAAUAAACUACAUCCUUCCUGUGAAGAACUAUAGUCACGAAAUCCAGACAUGUUCAGAUGUUGAUACUUUGAUCCUGAGAGCUGUGAGACUGAUGAUUGAUUUGGGACAUGACUUCACGAACAAAGUGCUGAGAUGAUUUGGAGCCUGAGGAAAUAACAAGCAUGUAUGAUAAAGCCGCACAUCUUCAAGGAAUACAGGAAGAGACUGCUGAUGCAUUCAAGGUGUGCUAAGAGAAGUUAGACUGUCUGAAGCUAUUCAAGUCUGAAACAGCAUCUCAGUGCUAAACAUGAGCACCAACAUCCAGAAGACUGAUAUCAGCCUCCAUAUUUAUUUUUAAGUAGUUUUUUCAAAGAAGUUACAUGAAUGAUCAUUUGUUCCUGACACACAUUUCAGAGAUGAAUGGGUACUUUAGCAAUAACCCAAAUAACAUAUUAGAACAAUAAAUAGCAUUGUUGUUGAGUGUAUAUGUCUAUUUAUUAAAUAAUUUAGCAACAAAAAGA